RNAcentral lists this ribosomal RNA (1364 nucleotides) under uncultured bacterium. RNAcentral describes it as "16S ribosomal RNA". It matches the Rfam family "Bacterial small subunit ribosomal RNA". The record is from RNAcentral.
AGAGUUUGAUCCUGGCUCAGGAUGAACGCUGGCGGCGUGCCUAACACAUGCAAGUCGAACGGACAUCUUCGGAUGUCAGUGGCGAACGGGUGAGUAACGCGUAGGUAAUGUGCCCUUGCGCUGCGAAUAACAGCCUGAAAAGGCUGCUAAUACGGAAUUGUCUCCAUUCCCGGCAUCGGGUUUGGAGUAAAGAUUUAUCGCGCGAGGAUCAGCCUGCGUCCUAUUAGUUAGUUGGCGGGGUAACGGCCCACCAAGACGACGAUGGGUAACUGGUCUGAGAGGAUGAACAGUCACACUGGAACUGAGAACGGUCCAGACUCCUACGGGAGGCAGCAGUGAGGAAUUUUGCGCAAUGGAGGAAACUCUGACGCAGCAACGCCGCGUGAGUGAUGACGGCCUUCGGGUUGUAAAGCUCUGUCGAGAGGGACGAGUAGGGACGGUACCUCUCAAGAAAGCCCCGGCUAACUAUGUGCCAGCAGCCGCGGUAAGACGUAGGGGGCGAGCGUUAUCCGGAAUCACUGGGCGUAAAGAGCUCGUAGGUGGAUUUGUAAGUCCGGGAGCAAAUGUCCCCGCUCAACGGGGUCAUCAUUCCGGAUACUGCAUGUCUUGAGGACAGGAGGGGAAAGUGGAAUUUCCAGUGUAGCGGUGAAAUGCGUAGAGAUUGGAAAGAACACCGGUGGCGAAGGCGUCUUUCUGGCCUGUAUCUGACACUGAGGAGCGAAAGUCAGGGGAGCGAACGGGAUUAGAUACCCCGGUAGUCCUGACCGUAAACGAUGAAUGCUAGGUGUGGGGGGUGUAGAUUCCUUCCGUGCCGAAGUAAACACAAUAAGCAUUCCGCCUGGGGAGUACGGCCGCAAGGUUGAAACUCAAAGGAAUUGACGGGGGCCCGCACAAGCAGUGGAGCAUGUGGUUUAAUUCGACGAUACGCGAAGAACCUUACCAGGGUUUGACAUAUGCGCGCCCGGGCCGGAAACGGCCCCUUUCUUCGGAACGCGCAUACAGGUGCUGCAUGGCUGUCGUCAGCUCGUGCCGUGAGGUGUUGGGUUAAGUCCCGCAACGAGCGCAACCCUUGUCGCCAGUUGCCACCGGGUAACGCCGGGCACUCUGGUGAUACUGCCCUCGCAAGAGGGAGGAAGGUGGGGAUGACGUCAAGUCAGCAUGGCCCUUACGUCCUGGGCCACACACGUGCUACAAUGGCAGGUACAGAGGGCAGCGACGCCGCGAGGCCAAGCGAAUCUCAAAAAUCCUGUCUCAGUUCGGAUUGGAGGCUGCAACCCGCCUCCAUGAAGUCGGAAUUGCUAGUAACCGCAGAUCAGCUACGCUGCGGUGAAUACGUUCCCGGGCCUUGCACACACCGCCCGUCA